CUGCGUGUGAUGAAAUUGCUAAACAUACCGCACUCAAAAUGCGGCGGCGUAAGCCUUGUCGGUUGGAGUCCGACCACGCAGA
This 82-nucleotide transfer RNA is filed under the name Siphoviridae sp. ctKcB20. RNAcentral describes it as "tRNA-Leu". It matches the Rfam family "tRNA". From Rfam's summary of the family: Transfer RNA (tRNA) molecules are approximately 80 nucleotides in length. Their secondary structure includes four short double-helical elements and three loops (D, anti-codon, and T loops). Further hydrogen bonds mediate the characteristic L-shaped molecular structure. tRNAs have two regions of fundamental functional importance: the anti-codon, which is responsible for specific mRNA codon recognition, and the 3' end, to which the tRNAs corresponding amino acid is attached (by aminoacyl-tRNA synthetases). tRNAs cope with the degeneracy of the genetic code in two manners: having more than one tRNA (with a specific anti-codon) for a particular amino acid; and 'wobble' base-pairing, i.e. permitting non-standard base-pairing at the 3rd anti-codon position. Lineage: Duplodnaviria; Heunggongvirae; Uroviricota; Caudoviricetes. The record is from RNAcentral. RNAcentral also lists the same sequence under 1 other name.